RNAcentral lists this ribosomal RNA (393 nucleotides) under uncultured bacterium. RNAcentral's name for it is "partial 16S ribosomal RNA". It matches the Rfam family "Bacterial small subunit ribosomal RNA", at positions 523 to 918 of the family's 1533-position model. The record is from RNAcentral.
AUACGGAGGAUGCGAGCGUUAUCCGGAUUUAUUGGGUUUAAAGGGUGCGUAGGCUGUGCGUUAAGUCAGGGGUGAAAUGCCGUCGCUCAACGACGGAGCUGCCCUUGAUACUGGCGUGCUGGAGUACGGAUGCCGUUGGAGGAAUGAGUGGCGUAGCGGUGAAAUGCUUAGAUAUCACUCAGAACACCGAUUGCGAAGGCGUCGUACUAAGCCGUCACUGACGCUGAGGCACGAAAGCGUGAGGAUAGAACAGGUUUAGAUACCCUGGUAUACCACGCCGUAAACGAUGAUGACUAACCGUCGGCGAUAGACAGCCGGUGGCCAAGCGAAAGCGAUAAGUCAUCCACCUGGGGAGUACGUCGGCAACGAUGAAACUCAAAUGAAUUGACGGGG